RNAcentral lists this long non-coding RNA (1751 nucleotides) under Cicer arietinum (chickpea). RNAcentral's name for it is "long non-coding RNA (CARI_LNC002892)". Lineage: Eukaryota; Viridiplantae; Streptophyta; Magnoliopsida; Fabales; Fabaceae. The record is from RNAcentral.
UGAGGAUUGCUUUAUCUUUCUGGCACAACAUUGUUUCCAACCUCUCUCUGAUGACGGUGUAACACAACACUUCUCCAUCGAUGAUGUCUUAACACAUCCUGAUUGUAAAUAACGCUUAAACUAAAACCAUAGUUGUUGACUGCAACCCUAAAACUAACAACAUCUUAGUGCUAUGUGUUUGUUGUUGUUGAUGAUGGUGGGGAUGAUAUUGAAUGUUGGGUUACUUUCUAUUUCUUGCGUUUACUUGCUUUUUUCUCCUUCAAUUUUUCUUGUUUACUUUUGGAGGUAAGAGAUAACACAACUUGUAGUGUCAAUUGGUCCAUGUAAUUGACUUUACUUGGUUGAAAAAUAGUUAGUUGUUAUUGUAUUACUAAGUAUCUAACUUCAACGAAAUACUUCUGCUGCUGCACUAAUUGUCUUUAGAUAGGAUUGAACUGUUUUUUUUUUUUUUUAAUAAAUGAUAGAAGUGAUUUACUAUAUUGUAUUUUGAGUAAACGAAAAAAUUCGUCCCUCACUUUGUAGGACACUAUCAAAUAGGUCUUUGGUUAUAUGUGAUAUGUGAAAUGAGAGUUGGUUCCUUGAUUUUUGGUUGAUGGUUAUAAGAUCAUUAUAGUUGUUCAAGGUUGAAAUUUGAUUGUGUUUAUGUUUACCCAUUUGACAAAUUUGACCUUUAUUGUGUGAAAUUGUGUGUGCUUGAUGAAUAUGUGAUAUGUUUGUAACUCAUGUACUCUUGUAAUAGCUCUCAAUUUUAAUCUCUCCUACUUUGUGUUUCAUCUAUUAUUGAGUUUUUCCUUUGGAUCUAACUUAGAUAUAUUUUUAUGUGCUUCGUAUGAACUGAAUGGAGCUUUUGGUUUUAAGAUUUGUAUUAUAAACAUCUUGGGUUUAUUUCACUUGAAUCAAUUGCAUAAUCUUCUAUUAUCAAAUUCAACGACAGUGUUUUGUUUCUUAAAAUAAGUAAUUACUUAUUUAGAUAGAAAAAAUACACAAAAAAGCAUUUAAAUUCAAUUCAAAUCUUAUGUUAGCAUCUAGCUUUCAAACAAAAAUGUUUUUGUUAGCAUCUUAUCUCUUUGAUUUGCUGAAUUGCAUAGGUGAAAGGAUAUUGUUGUGUUGUUUGCUACUAUUUGAUUCUUUAAUUCUCUAGAUUAAGAAAAUGUGGCACACAUUUACUAAAAGAUAAUUGUCUUACCUAACACCCUUUGUGCCUAGAAAUCUUAAUUAGUGUUAGUUUAGUUGACAGGAGAAGUUUAGUUUAGAGUUAGCAUUGUUGUUGAUGAAAUGGUUUCUUUGACUUUCUUAAUGAAUACCACAAAAGGGAAAAUUGAUAAACCUAAAUGGGGUUACUUUGACUAAUUUGAGGUUUUGGUCAAAUAUGCAGUCGCAGGAACUACAAGUUACUGAAUUUCGAAUCAUUUGCAUUCUGGAUUUUAAUUAAUAUACUAUAUGAGUUAGUUUGGUGGCUGAGAAUUUGAACUUCGAUGGAUGUGGAUUUUCCAUGGUGAGAAAGAUUAUAAAUUGUUGUUGUCAUAGUGGAAUUGGAUGUGCUUACCUCACAAUCUUUUAUAUAUGAGAUAUAAAAUUGCAUAUAUAUAUAUAUAUAUAUAUAUGGCUGAUGUAGAUGUAUUUAUAGUUCUAGAGGCCCUUAAAGCCUUAAGGAUGCAGUUGUGAAUAAGAUUUCUGAAUGCAAUUUAAGAUCAAUUCUUUUGAGGAAAUUAUUGGAUAAAAUUAACAAACUUAUGUAUAUCAUACUAGGA